RNAcentral lists this unclassified non-coding RNA (263 nucleotides) under plant metagenome. Its description in RNAcentral is "partial contains small subunit ribosomal RNA, internal transcribed spacer 1, and 5.8S ribosomal RNA". The record is from RNAcentral.
GUUCCGUAGGUGAACCUGCGGAAGGAUCAUUAUUGUAUAACCGAGGUGCGAGGGCUGUCGCUGACCCGAAAGGUCGUGCACGCCCGAGUGCCCUCACACACAUCCAUCUCACCCCUAUGUGCACCACCGCGUGGGUCCCCCUUUGGCUUGUUCGGAGGGGGGCUUACGUUUUCCCACAAACUUUGUAUGCAGUGUAGAAUGUAUUUUUUGUUUUUGCGAUCACGCAAUCAAUACAACUUUCAACAACGGAUCUCUUGGCUCUC